This 253-nucleotide ribosomal RNA is filed under the name uncultured bacterium. RNAcentral describes it as "partial 16S ribosomal RNA". It matches the Rfam family "Bacterial small subunit ribosomal RNA", at positions 524 to 776 of the family's 1533-position model. The record is from RNAcentral.
UACGUAGGGGGCAAGCGUUGUCCGGAAUCAUUGGGCGUAAAGCGCGUGUAGGCGGCUCGGAAAGUCGGGUGUGAAAGCCCUGGGCUCAACCUAGGAAGUGCACUCGAAACUUCCGAGCUGGAGUUCUGGAGAGGAAGGCGGAAUUCUCGGUGUAGCGGUGAAAUGCGCAGAUAUCAGGAGGAACACCGGUGGCGAAGGCGGGUCUCUGGGCCGAUACUGACGCUGAGGAGCGAAAGCGUGGGGAGCGAACAGG